CCCUGCUUUUGUGGGGUGCUCGAGUGGCGAACGGGUGAGUGACACGUGAGUAACCUGCCCUUGACUUUGGGAUAACUUCAGGAAACUGGGGCUAAUACCGGAUAGGAGCUCCUGCUGCAUGGUGGGGGUUGGAAAGUUUCGGCGGUUGGGGAUGGACUCGCGGCUUAUCAGCUUGUUGGUGGGGUAGUGGCUUACCAAGGCUUUGACGGGUAGCCGGCCUGAGAGGGUGACCGGCCACAUUGGGACUGAGAUACGGCCCAGACUCCUACGGGAGGCAGCAGUGGGGAAUAUUGCACAAUGGGCGGAAGCCUGAUGCAGCAACGCCGCGUGCGGGAUGACGGCCUUCGGGUUGUAAACCGCUUUCGCCUGUGACGAAGCGUGAGUGACGGUAAUGGGUAAAGAAGCACCGGCUAACUACGUGCCAGCAGCCGCGGUGAUACGUAGGGUGCGAGCGUUGUCCGGAUUUAUUGGGCGUAAAGGGCUCGUAGGUGGUUGAUCGCGUCGGAAGUGUAAUCUUGGGGCUUAACCCUGAGCGUGCUUUCGAUACGGGUUGACUUGAGGAAGGUAGGGGAGAAUGGAAUUCCUGGUGGAGCGGUGGAAUGCGCAGAUAUCAGGAGGAACACCAGUGGCGAAGGCGGUUCUCUGGGCCUUUCCUGACGCUGAGGAGCGAAAGCGUGGGGAGCGAACAGGCUUAGAUACCCUGGUAGUCCACGCUGUAAACGGUGGGUACUAGGUGUGGGGUCCAUUCCACGGGUUCCGUGCCGUAGCUAACGCUUUAAGUACCCCGCCUGGGGAGUACGGCCGCAAGGCUAAAACUCAAAGGAAUUGACGGGGCCCCGCACAAGCGGCGGAGCAUGCGGAUUAAUUCGAUGCAACGCGUAGAACCUUACCUGGGUUUGACAUGGAUCGGGAGCGCUCAGAGAUGGGUGUGCCUCUUUUGGGGUCGGUUCACAGGUGGUGCAUGGCUGUCGUCAGCUCGUGUCGUGAGAUGUUGGGUUAAGUCCCGCAACGAGCGCAACCCUUGUUCACUGUUGCCAGCACGUUAUGGUGGGGACUCAGUGGAGACCGCCGGGGUCAAC
This 1079-nucleotide ribosomal RNA is filed under the name uncultured bacterium. RNAcentral's name for it is "bacterial SSU rRNA". It matches the Rfam family "Bacterial small subunit ribosomal RNA", at positions 73 to 1162 of the family's 1533-position model. The record is from RNAcentral.